AGCGAACGCUGGCGGCAGGCUUAACACAUGCAAGUCGAACGCCCCGCAAGGGGGGUGGCAGACGGGUGAGUAACACGUGGGAACGUACCCUUUGGUUCGGAAUAACUUGGGGAAACUCAAGCUAAUACCGGAUAAGCCCUUAUGGGGAAAGGUUUACUGCCGAAGGAUCGGCCCGCGUCUGAUUAGCUAGUUGGUGAGGUAAUGGCUCACCAAGGCGACGAUCAGUAGCUGGUCUGAGAGGAUGAUCAGCCACACUGGGACUGAGACACGGCCCAGACUCCUACGGGAGGCAGCAGUGGGGAAUAUUGGACAAUGGGGGCAACCCUGAUCCAGCCAUGCCGCGUGAGUGAUGAAGGCCUUAGGGUUGUAAAGCUCUUUUACCCGGGACGAUAAUGACUGUACCGGGGGAAUAAGCCCCGGCUAACUUCGUGCCAGCAGCCGCAGUAA
This 447-nucleotide ribosomal RNA is filed under the name uncultured bacterium. Its description in RNAcentral is "partial 16S ribosomal RNA". It matches the Rfam family "Bacterial small subunit ribosomal RNA", at positions 29 to 523 of the family's 1533-position model. The record is from RNAcentral.